This is a long non-coding RNA of Neopsephotus bourkii (Bourke's parrot), 919 nucleotides long. RefSeq lists it as uncharacterized. NCBI's taxonomy places the organism in Eukaryota, Metazoa, Chordata, Aves, Psittaciformes, Psittacidae. The transcript is spliced from 2 exons. The record is from RefSeq and is a predicted model, not a curated record.
CAGAGGGAAGUGUGAAUGGUUGUUACCAUGAUGCAGAGAAGAUGCCUCAGCCUUUUGCUUACUGGAGAGAAAUGAUUUUGGCGUGAUUUUGGGAGCCACUGAUGGAUGGCAAGCUGAUCGUGCUUUUCUGGGAUGUUCCUUAUGUUUAUUGCUGGCUGUGAAAACGAGGACUGAAUGUUUCUGUAUGGCAUUACAUUUUUGCUGCAUGUUAUACUUAGUCUGGUGUCAGUAAUUUUAAGAAGGUGAUCUGUUCCCAUGUACUGAGAACAAAUAUGCAAAACCUUGUGAUUUCUUUUUAAAGCUUUGGUUUAUCAAGGAACAUAAGUUCAUGCCUAAUUUAAAACAUAUCAGCUGUUCUGUGACUGCCAUUCUCAUCGUAUUUUUGAUGUCCAGCAUAUACUUAAUCCUUUGUGAGCCCUUCAGCAGUUUCAGCUGGUUAGGGACAAGAUUGUGCCAAAACAAAUUACUCCUUUCCCGGUGGCAGAGGACAGGUUUGGUACCAUUUCACAUGGGAAAGCCGGAAAAAGGAAGAGAUUAACGCCUCUUAGACAGGUCACAGAUUCACUUGGCCCGGGAGGAUGAACCACAGGGGCCUUCUUGGGAUCGUGCCAGCAGCUGUGAGAGUUACAGCUAUGCACCUUCUCAUGCAGACCGUUUGUAACCUGGGGAUUCGCACACCGUAACGAAGGCCCUGCUUUGCCCAGCAUAGUGUGACACCUGCAGCACUUGAGCUGCGUGUGCUGCGGAGGGAUGGCUCCCGACAGCUCCGCUCCGCUGGCUCUGCAGAACGACUUCUCUGAAGCGUGUGAAAGCUGCGGCUCGCUGCGCUGGAGCAGAUGGCAGUGCUUCUGAGGUGACCGGUUUCUGGAGGAGGUGGUGGUGGGAAACCAAACCAUUAAACAGAGCCGCAGCAAACUGC